This is a long non-coding RNA of Myzus persicae (green peach aphid), 1942 nucleotides long. RefSeq lists it as uncharacterized. Lineage: Eukaryota; Metazoa; Arthropoda; Insecta; Hemiptera; Aphididae. The record is from RefSeq and is a predicted model, not a curated record. The transcript is spliced from 3 exons.
CUGUGUCUGUCUCUCUGGCACCGUCUUGGUUUAUUCCUACUCAAUAUCGUUAUAUGCCAUAUUAUACACUACUCUUGUUCUCGAUUAGCGAUUUAUUGCGAUUUAUUAUUUCAUUAUAACUACGAAUUACGAUGAUGAUGAUGACAUCACAUUGACACCGCACCAGUGUAGCUGACGCCGACGUGUGAGGUACGUAUACCGGCUAAUAUACACGAUUUCGUCAGUGACGGUGGCGAAUCGUGAGUUAUUGUAAUUUCUCGGUAUAAUAUGCAAAAUCGUGUUCGCGAUCCACCCAAAGCCGGCCAUGUUUUGGAAAUGCAAGCACACACACACACACACAUAUAGAUUUCAAAAAAUUGUAUGAAAAAGCAGUUAUUGGCAUGGACAAAGAGAGUAAUGUAUGUAUACAUUUAACACAGGUAUUAAAAGUUGGGAACGUCCAGAGAUGAGAAUCAAAAUUCUAAAUAUAAUGAAUUUCAAUAAGGAAAUACAAAUGCAUUGAGCAUUUAUCACAUAAUAUUUGCACCAACAAUUGCAGAUUCAUAAAACAACACAAGAAAAUGUCAUCAUUAUAGAUACCUAUGUCAUAUAAACGAGUGACAUUAAAUUAAACAACAAUCUAUAACUGCUGAAAGUUUUAAAUAUAAACACAAGUAAUGAAAGAGUGAAGUCGAUUUUGGGUAAAAUGAAUAUUUUAAUGGACUUCAAUGAAUACUACCAAUUGUUUAAUCAUACUUUUUACAUUGAAUCAACACAUUUACCAUUUGUAUUUCUAAGUUGUAGAUUUUAAAUAAUAAUAAAAAAAAUCAGAUUUUUUGUGUCUGAGACAUAGUUCCAGAUUGUAACACAUUAUAUACUAUAUCUCAGCUCAAACCUGUUAAUUUUAAUUAGUAAGCAUAAACAUUUAUGAGAUAACUUUUUAUUCAAAAUAUAAAUUAAUUAUAUUUACUUCAAAACUAGUGUUACUCAUUGAUUAUUAUCACUUAUCAGUUAUCUAAAAUAAUCACCCAUAGUGCAUAACAUAACAAUAAUAGUUUAAUACAGAUCUUUUUAAAAACAAAUACAUGAAAAAAUAGACAUUUCGAAAUAUAGUUUAGAAUUGAGAAAGUAAAUAAUGUAUUAUACGUGUGUAUACAAUAAAAUGGUUAUCAAUUUGAAUACAUGCCAAUAUGAGUCAUUUCUUUUAGUUUCCAAAUCAAAAUAAAAAUUCAAGGUUAGGUUGUCUUUAAGUAAGAAUAUAUUAUGAAAUCUUUAUUCUAAUUAAUGUUAUUAAACUUACAUUAUAAUAUUAUAAGUUAUUUGAGAAAUUAUAUUUAAAUUAAAUUUAAGUUUGUUUAAUUAAGUUCAGACAUCUGUUUUGCUCAUCCAUACUUUAGUUAUCAAACUUUAUGAAUAAAAUACAUUUUACAAAAUCUUUAUCUAGUGUGAAAGAAAAAGAUACAGCUUAUCUCACAUUUAAACCAAAAUUCAGAAAAAUUGAUACCUACAGAUAUUAUAAGAAAACUUUGAAGAGCUAAAUAAAAUGUUAUUUUAACAGUAAAAAAUUGUUGGGUAAGAAUAGAUUGCUCAAAACAAUCUAAAAUAAUUCAAAAAACUUCCUGGUCCUAAUUAUAAUAUAUAUUAUACACAUACAUUUUUCUCAAACAAGUUGCCAUGAUUAAUAAUUUCAUAAUAAUUUAAUCUUAUUCUACAUUAAGGCUGAUGCUCAUUUAAUUUGAUUCAAGUUAAAAAAUAUAUUUUUAAUUUAUUAAAAAUGUAUACAUAUUUUGGUUUUAGAUUUUGAGAAAAGUGAUGAAUCUAUUGAUUUACAAUGAUGUUUAAACACAUAUAUAUUUUUUGUAUAUUUCAAUAAAUUAAUCAUGUUUAGGAACAAUACAUUGAUUUACGUAAUUUCAAUAAAAUGAAGUAAUUUGAAUCUACUAUUAUUAGAAAAUAGUAGGUA